RNAcentral lists this ribosomal RNA (349 nucleotides) under uncultured bacterium. RNAcentral's name for it is "bacterial SSU rRNA". It matches the Rfam family "Bacterial small subunit ribosomal RNA", at positions 30 to 377 of the family's 1533-position model. The record is from RNAcentral.
AUUGAACGCUGGCGGAAUGCUUUACACAUGCAAGUCGAACGGCAGCACGGGAGCUUGCUCCUGGUGGCGAGUGGCGAACGGGUGAGUAAUACAUAGGAACAUACCCAGUAAUGGGGGAUAACGCCGAGAAAUCGGUGCUAAUACCGCAUACGCCCUACGGGGGAAAGCGGGGGAUCUUCGGACCUCGCGUUAUUGGAUUGGCCUAUGUCUGAUUAGCUAGUUGGUGAGGUAAAGGCUCACCAAGGCGACGAUCAGUAGCUGGUCUGAGAAGAUGAUCAGCCACACUGGAACUGAGACACGGUCCAGACUCCUACGGGAGGCAGCAGUGGGGAAUUUUGGACAAUGGGCG